GAUGAAAGUCCACUAAAUAUUUAUUUGACCAUUGGGCUUUUUUAUUUAAAUAUACCUGAGGGAUGGUCCACACCUGUAUUUCUCAAAUUCCCACAAAUAGAAAAUAACAUAAAUUAUGCCUAAUAUAGAAAUUGGUUCACAUAUCACCCACCUUACUUAAAAUCUAAUAUCCCAGCCCUCCCCCUUUUUCAGGUAGUAACAUGAAUUUGAAAGCCCU
RNAcentral lists this long non-coding RNA (217 nucleotides) under Mytilus galloprovincialis (Mediterranean mussel). Lineage: Eukaryota; Metazoa; Mollusca; Bivalvia; Mytilida; Mytilidae. The record is from RNAcentral.